AGAAUCAACGCUGGCGGCGUGCCUAACACAUGCAAGUCGAACGAGAAAGGGGAGCAAUCCCUGAGUAAAGUGGCGACCGGGUGAGUAACACGUGACUAACCUACCUUCGAGUGGGGGAUAACCUCGGGAAACCGAGGCUAAUACCGCAUAACAUCGCAAGAUCAAAGCAGCAAUGCGCUGGAAGAGGGGGUCGCGGCUGAUUAGCUAGUUGGCGGGGUAACGGCCCACCAAGGCGAAGAUCGGUAUCCGGCCUGAGAGGGCGCACGGACACACUGGAACUGAAACACGGUCCAGACUCCUACGGGAGGCAGCAGUGGGAAUUUUGCGCAAUGGGGGAAACCCUGACGCAGCAACGCCGCGUGGAGGAUGAAGCCCCUUGGGGCGUAAACUCCUUUCGACCAAGACGAUAAUGACGGUACUGGUGGAAGAAGCACCGGCUAACUCUGCGCCAGCAGCCGC
This 459-nucleotide ribosomal RNA is filed under the name uncultured bacterium. RNAcentral's name for it is "SSU rRNA". It matches the Rfam family "Bacterial small subunit ribosomal RNA", at positions 26 to 518 of the family's 1533-position model. The record is from RNAcentral.